RNAcentral lists this ribosomal RNA (292 nucleotides) under uncultured prokaryote. RNAcentral describes it as "partial 16S ribosomal RNA". It matches the Rfam family "Bacterial small subunit ribosomal RNA", at positions 505 to 796 of the family's 1533-position model. The record is from RNAcentral.
GUGCCAUCCGCCGCGGUAAUACGAAGUGGGCUAGCGUUGUUCGGAUUUACUGGGCGUAAAGCGCACGUAGGCGGACUAUUAAGUCAGGGGUGAAAUCCCGGGGCUCAACCCCGGAACUGCCUUUGAUACUGGUAGUCUUGAGUUCGAGAGAGGUGAGUGGAAUUCCGAGUGUAGAGGUGAAAUUCGCAGAUAUUCGGAGGAACACCAGUGGCGAAGGCGGCUCACUGGCUCGAUACUGACGCUGAGGUGCGAAAGCGUGGGGAGCAAACAGGAUUAGAUACCCCAGUAGUCC